RNAcentral lists this transfer-messenger RNA (225 nucleotides) under Bartonella vinsonii subsp. berkhoffii. RNAcentral describes it as "partial ssrA". It matches the Rfam family "Alphaproteobacteria transfer-messenger RNA", at positions 107 to 331 of the family's 355-position model. Rfam says of the family: Bacterial tmRNA, also known as 10Sa RNA or SsrA, is named for its dual tRNA and mRNA-like properties. Its role is to liberate the mRNA from a stalled ribosome. To accomplish this part of the tmRNA is used as a reading frame that ends in a translation stop signal. Lineage: Bacteria; Pseudomonadati; Pseudomonadota; Alphaproteobacteria; Hyphomicrobiales; Bartonellaceae. The record is from RNAcentral.
GGCGCCUCCACCAAAAUAUAAGAAAAAAAUUAUAUUUUGGUGGGGGCGAAAUAGGAUCGACAAGAGCGUAAAGAUUGCUCUUUUACUCGGCAUAGUACCACCGUUAUCGGACUAAAUGAGUAGUUGCAAAUGACAACUAUGCGGAAGCACGUCUCGCCGCUUAAGGUGGUGUGAAUGUUUCAAAUUAAGUCUUAAACCGUCGCAGGUUUAAGCGGGGUUCGAAGG